GACGAACGCUGGCGGCGUGCUUAACACAUGCAAGUCGAACGGAAAGGCCCUGCUUGCCGGGUACUCGAGUGGCGAACGGGUGAGUAACACGUGGGUGAUCUGCCCUGCACUUCGGGAUAAGCCUGGGAAACUGGGUCUAAUACCGGAUAGGAGCCAUUUUUAGUGUGAUGGUUGGAAAGUUUUUUCGGUGUAGGAUGAGCUCGCGGCCUAUCAGCUUGUUGGUGGGGUAAUGGCCUACCAAGGCGGCGACGGGUAGCCGGCCGGAGAGGGUGGACGGCCACAUUGGGACUGAGAUACGGCCCAGACUCCGACGGGAGGCAGCAGUGGGGAAUAUUGCACAAUGGGCGCAAGCCUGAUGCAGCGACGCCGCGUGGGGGAUGACGGCCUUCGGGUUGGAAACUCCUUUCGCUAGGGACGAAGCUUUUUGUGACGGUACCUAGAUAAGAAGCACCGGCUAACUACGUG
Molecule: ribosomal RNA, 465 nt
Filed under: uncultured bacterium
Lineage: Bacteria
Description: partial 16S ribosomal RNA
Rfam family: Bacterial small subunit ribosomal RNA
Source: RNAcentral